CACGCGUUCACCGCGGAGAGCUCUACAAAACCCAUACAAUUAAUCUUGAGGACCCAACUCUCUUGAAGGAGAAGGUUAAUCUUGUCUCUUUGGACCUUGGGUGUGGUUGUGUAUAUGUGAAUAUUGGAGCUUGAUUGGUGAUUUUGAAAAGCUUGAAAAAGGGGAUUUGGUGGUGAAAAAUC
This is a long non-coding RNA of Arachis duranensis, 182 nucleotides long. RefSeq lists it as uncharacterized. NCBI's taxonomy places the organism in Eukaryota, Viridiplantae, Streptophyta, Magnoliopsida, Fabales, Fabaceae. The record is from RefSeq and is a predicted model, not a curated record. The transcript has 3 exons.